Molecule: long non-coding RNA, 100 nt
Organism: Aricia agestis (brown argus)
Lineage: Eukaryota; Metazoa; Arthropoda; Insecta; Lepidoptera; Lycaenidae
Exons: 3
Source: RefSeq, a predicted model, not a curated record
UUAUGUGCUAUAUACACUAAUCCAUUCCCAAUCUUUUGCAGCCUGCGGCGUACUUACAAGUCAAUAUUUAGUAACGGCGCCCUACUUUACCUAGCUUUUA